CCUACGGGUGGCAGCAGUGGGGAAUAUUGGACAAUGGGCGAAAGCCUGAUCCAGCCAUGCCGCGUGUGUGAAGAAGGCCUUCGGGUUGUAAAGCACUUUCAGUGGGGAAGAAAGCCUUGGGGCUAAUACCCUCGAGGAAGGACAUCACCCACAGAAGAAGCACCGGCUAACUCCGUGCCAGCAGCCGCGGUAAUACGGAGGGUGCGAGCGUUAAUCGGAUUUACUGGGCGUAAAGCGCGCGUAGGCGGUCUGAUAAGCCGGUUGUGAAAGCCCCGGGCUCAACCUGGGAACGGCAUCCGGAACUGUCAGGCUAGAGUGCAGGAGAGGAAGGUAGAAUUCCCGGUGUAGCGGUGAAAUGCGUAGAGAUCGGGAGGAAUACCAGUGGCGAAGGCGGCCUUCUGGACUGACACUGACGCUGAGGUGCGAAAGCGUGGGUAGCAAACAGGAUUAGAUACCCGAGUAGUC
RNAcentral lists this ribosomal RNA (465 nucleotides) under Vreelandella stevensii. Its description in RNAcentral is "partial 16S ribosomal RNA". It matches the Rfam family "Bacterial small subunit ribosomal RNA", at positions 338 to 795 of the family's 1533-position model. Lineage: Bacteria; Pseudomonadati; Pseudomonadota; Gammaproteobacteria; Oceanospirillales; Halomonadaceae. The record is from RNAcentral.